Molecule: long non-coding RNA, 3388 nt
Organism: Salvelinus fontinalis (brook trout)
Lineage: Eukaryota; Metazoa; Chordata; Actinopteri; Salmoniformes; Salmonidae
Exons: 5
Source: RefSeq, a predicted model, not a curated record
UGUACAUGUAGGUAGAGUUAAAGUGACUAUGCAUAGAUAAUAAACAGAGAGUAGCAGUAGCGGCGUAAAAAGGGGAGCAAUGCAAAUAGUCUGGGUAGCCAUUUGAUUAGCUGUUCAGGAGUCUUAUGGCUUGGGGGUAGAAGCUGUUAAGCCUUUUGGACCUAGACUUGGUGCUCCGGUACCGCUUGCCGUGCGCUAGCAGAGAGAACAGUCUAUGACUGGGGAGUCUUCGACGAUUAUUAAGGCCUUCUUCCGACACCGUCUGGUGUCAGAGAAAGGCGUUAGUUGCACUAAACAGAUGCAACAUUGCAUUGGCGAGUUAGUUAGCUAGUCUUGCUAGCUGUAUAUUUAGCUCAGCCUCAUGAGGAAAAUCGAAACCUAUAGCUGGUGAAGAUUUUAAACGCGAGGUUGCUUGUAUUGCUAGGUAAUGUAGAGUUGGCUAGCCAUGUUGUCUUUAGCUAUGUAACUUGAUGCCAUGUAAAUUAGUGUUUGCAUCUGUGUCAACUUGGCCACAAUAUCUGACUUGGUGACCCUGAUGAUGUAGCGAGGUAACCACACAUCAGUGGAUGGAGGAGGCAUGGAGCAAAAUAACCUUGGUGGCGCUAGGCAUCUAACCAUCCGUCCAGUCUAUGAGAUUGGUCAAGGUGACAACUAGCUAGCUAGUCUGUCUGCAUAACGUUCGCUACCUAAAUCUGUACGUUUCUGUAUGCUUUCUCUGAUUAAUUGUAUAGCUAAAUACAAAAUCUGAGCACUGUCUUUAGCCAUUUCAUUGCUAAAUGGUUCCUCCUCGUCAAUUCAAGGAAGGCAAUAGGUCUCGGAAUGGCAAAAGUGGACCCAGCCAGUCCAGCACCCCUCAUUAGAACGAUGCCUAUGCCAGACUCCUCGGCCAACAUCACAGUAGGAAGUUCUGCCCAACAGCAGGGGGAACAGAGUGGGCCAAACGCACAGAGGCAGGGUUUAGCCCACAUCAACAAACAAGACAUACCGCAGAGAAAAAGGGACCAUGCAUUUAUCGAGUGCUCUGACUCAAGUGACUUCUUGCCUUCACCUAUGAAAGGUAAGGGAGGACAAGACGGCUCUCUGUCCUUGUACAUGGACAAGAGGCGCGCUGCAGGAGCCGGAGAGGAAGCAGGGGGUUUCCGAAAAGCAGCCACAGGUGUGCUAGGGACACCAAAACCAGUCAGGACAGAGAUGUGGAGUCCGGUGAGUAGUUGUGCUCUCUCAAACAGAGGGACUCCCAGCAGCAACACCAGAUGACAAAACAAAGACUACAAAGACCAUGCUUCCAAAGUGCCCACAGGUAACCAAAGAACAUGAGUCAUGGGAUAUCUCCCCCAAAAGCCGGUUUAACAGAUAUAUUUUUUAAAUUAACCUUUAUUUAAAGUCAGUUAAAGUCAGCAAGUCAGCAAGUCAGCAAGUCAGUUAAGAACAAAUUCUUCUUUACAAUGAUGGCCAAACCCGGACGACGCUGGGCCAAUUGUGCGCCACCCUAUGGGGACUCUCAAUAAAUGGCUGGAUGUGAUACAGCCUGGAUUCAAACCAGGGUCUCUUGCACUGAGAUGCAGUGCCUUAGACCGCUGCGCCACUCGGGAGCCCACUCAGGAUGCCGAGGAGGACCAAAGAAGACAGUGUUUGAAGCGUACAUGACCAUGGAGGACGUUUCCGGCGGCCUAAAGAGAGGAGAGCACAUUCAGGGAUCAAGAAGAAUCAACCCCAAAAAGUAUCAUGAGGCUUUCAUUGUGUGUGUGUGUGUGUGUGUGUGUGUGUGUGUGUACACAAACGGAGAGGUUUUUGUUUGGACUGUGUGUGUCUACACAAACAUGUAUGUCUACACAAACAUGUAUCUCUCUGUGUGUGUGUGUACACAUUUAUUUAUUUUUUUAUAAGCUUGGCGGUUCCAGCCCUGAAUGCUGAUUGGCUGACAGCCGUGGUAUAUCAGACCGUAUGCCACGGGUUGGUGGAGGAGUUCAUGUUGCUUGCCAACGUGCUGUUCGACAGACACUUCACCUCGCUGCAACGCUGAUGUCAUCAUCCACAGGCUGGCAGACUCUCUGGGCUGUGGUCCUCUUCUGUAGCGGAGGUGCAGAAGCAGGCGUCCUGCUGUAACGAUGACGUGACUGCCUCAGAGAGAGUCCAGGAGCUCAGCUCUGAGCUGUUCUUCAUCAAGGAGAUCUCCAUCUUUAGUCUGGACAGCUGAGGGCAGACGGAGCUCCUAUGAAAUACAGCGCUGUAAUCAAGAGGCCCAAUUAGACAUCGUCGUGGAUACUACGAUAACUCACACACAUGAUAAGACAGACCGAGUUUACUUGGACAGUAUUGUGCGCUUGACAACACAUACAUGAUAACACACAUGUCAUUGCACGUGUUCUUUUGUAUGUAUUAGAAAAGCCAUUUUACUUCAUGGUUCAAUUACCAUCGAGGAGCCAAGGCUCUGAAGUAGCACUGAAGCAGUGUUAUUUAAAUACGGCCUGGACCAUUUUGAAAUGAACUGUAAAAGUGCCAAUACUGCAAUGAAUAACGUUUUAUAUUUAGCAGUUUUGACCCUAUGUAAUUUUUCGCAAAAGUAUAUACACAGUCGAUGUGUGAAGAUAAUAUAAACUAAAUAUGGUUUAAACUAAGCUGUUCUAUUAAUGUCGAGUUUUACAGUAACUCGUCAUUUCAGUCGCAAUGCAAUUCUUUGAUUAGUGGUAGCAGUCACCUUGCAAGAACUUGUUUUCCCCCGUCAAUUCAUAGUAUGACACUCUGUCCCACUUUAAAUAAAUUACUUUAAAGGUUUAAUAAACCAUUUUUAUAAUGACUAUUUUAAAGCAAAUUCAUACAACAUAUAACAGGAUAACAUGACGCUCAGCCAAGUGCUUUGCCAUGUGUGUUGGGACCACAAAUGUUCCGCAAAUGUUUAAGUUGCCAGUAGGAAGGAAUUCUUGAUACCAUUUUCAAACUCACAAAUCGAAUACGUUGAUAUAGCAAUUUUACUAUCUAGUGUAACUCCCAGUCCUCAACUCCUGUUUAGUCUCUGUGCCCAGAUUAGGAAUUACAUCUGGAUUUACCUUCAACCAGUGGUGUAAAGUACUUAGGUAAAAAUAGUUUGGGGUAUGUGUAUUAUUACUAUUAUAUUUUUGAGUUUUUACUUCGCUACAUUCCUAAAGAAAAUAUAAUUUUUACGCUGUAGAUUUUUACUGACAUCCAAAAGUACUCAUUACAUUUUGAAUGCUUAGCAGGACAGGAAAAUGGUCCAAUUCACGCACUUACAGUAUCAAGAUAACAUCCUUGGUGAUCCCUACUGCCUUGAUCUGGCGGCCUCACUAAGCACAAAUGCUUCAUUUUUAAAUGCUGUCUGAGUGUUGGCAUGUGCCUCUGGUGAUCCGUAAAUAAAAUAUAAACAAGAAAA